UGGGGAAUAUUGCACAAUGGGCGCAAGCCUGAUGCAGCCAUGCCGCGUGUAUGAAGAAGGCCUUCGGGUUGUAAAGUACUUUCAGCGGGGAGGAAGGCGCUAAGGUUAAUAACCUUGUCGAUUGACGUUACCCGCAGAAGAAGCACCGGCUAACUCCGUGCCAGCAGCCGCGGUAAUACGGAGGGUGCAAGCGUUAAUCGGAAUUACUGGGCGUAAAGCGCACGCAGGCGGUCUGUCAAGUCGGAUGUGAAAUCCCCGGGCUCAACCUGGGAACUGCAUUCGAAACUGGCAGGCUAGAGUCUUGUAGAGGGGGGUAGAAUUCCAGGUGUAGCGGUGAAAUGCGUAGAGAUCUGGAGGAAUACCGGUGGCGAAGGCGGCCCCCUGGACAAAGACUGACGCUCAGGUGCGAAAGCGUGGGGAGCAAACA
RNAcentral lists this ribosomal RNA (427 nucleotides) under uncultured bacterium. Its description in RNAcentral is "partial 16S ribosomal RNA". It matches the Rfam family "Bacterial small subunit ribosomal RNA", at positions 355 to 774 of the family's 1533-position model. The record is from RNAcentral.